GUCUACGGCCAUACCACCCUGAACGCGCCCGAUCUCGUCUGAUCUCGGAAGCUAAGCAGGGUCGGGCCUGGUUAGUACUUGGAUGGGAAAUAGCAGUGCGGUUUUUGUGUGCAUGUAGGUGUGUGGAAA
RNAcentral lists this ribosomal RNA (129 nucleotides) under Neogale vison (American mink). The record is from RNAcentral. Lineage: Eukaryota; Metazoa; Chordata; Mammalia; Carnivora; Mustelidae.